UACGGCCAUAUCUCGUAAAAACAUCUGUUCUCGUAUAAUCACCGAAGUUAAGCAAUGUCGAGCCUGGUCUGUACUUAAAUGGGUGACUUCUUGCGAAUAUCAGGUGCUAUA
This is a non-coding RNA of Acanthosepion pharaonis, 111 nucleotides long. Lineage: Eukaryota; Metazoa; Mollusca; Cephalopoda; Sepiida; Sepiidae. The record is from the annotation of a GenBank genome assembly.